UUAACUCAAAUUUGUAUGGAGUUGGAACGUUUGCCGCUAGAGGCGCUGUUCCAACUCCAUUCAAAUUUGAGUUA
This 74-nucleotide microRNA precursor is filed under the name Bombyx mori (domestic silkworm). Its description in RNAcentral is "mir-2807 microRNA precursor family". It matches the Rfam family "mir-2807 microRNA precursor family". Lineage: Eukaryota; Metazoa; Arthropoda; Insecta; Lepidoptera; Bombycidae. The record is from Rfam by way of RNAcentral.